UAGCAGUCUUGCAACUAAGCCCGAAAAAUCACAUCAAAAUGAUGUUGGGCUUAUCAUCUGCACCACUUAAAAAAACACCAUAAUUUCAAAUUAAACUGUCAUUCCAACUAAAAUUUGUUAGAUGACAGGAAGCACAUGUUAUUUUAUCCUGAUCCACAAGUGGUAAUUGUUGCAUAAAUGGAUUAAUAGUAAAUACACAGCACUGCCUCCCCCUUUUUUGAGAGGUUUUAUAUAAAAAUGACCCUCCUUUUUAUAACAUACUAUAUAAAAAUGCAUUUACGUUUGAUAACUAUAUAUUGAUUUGGGGUAUGUAUGAUCUUCAUUUCAUAUAUGAAUAUGCUAUUCAGAAUCUUAAAUUAUAAAUAGUCAAUGUUAGUAAACUAAAUUAAACUAAUAUAUGAAUUAAUAUGAAAGUUCACCUUCAAAAUAAGUUCCAAAUGCCUCCCCCCUUUUUUCAUGGGAAAAAUUUGGUUGAUUAUUUAGGGAAUCACUGAUGACUAGAGCGGCCCCCUAUUAGGUCAGUCAGCCCCCCCCCCCCCCCCUUUUACAAAAAGUUCUGGAUCUGCUCCUGACUAUAGGUGCUGAACGUUAUGUUACAUGUAUAUUAAAAUUGGUACAUUUUUUUAGGCCAGAAUGGCACACCCCUACCAUAAAAAUAUUGAGGUAUCAUUUAGUAUCAAUGGGAUCUAUCCUACAGAUGAGAAAAGACCUAAUUGUUCUUCUUAUAUUCUUUUCUUUUUUUUUUUCUUCUUAACAUCUUUUGACAAUCUAUCAAUACAUGCAAUAAGAGGGUGUGGUUGAGCUCUCAUAGUAUUUUAGUAACAACAAAUUAAUGUAUAUGUAAUGAACUUAAUUAAGCUGUUGAAAUUUACCGAAAUUUACCAUAUUAAAGAUUCAAAGCUUAAAUAUAACAUAUAAAACUAUGAAAAAUAAUACAUUAUUCAAAACUCGUUCUUCUUUUU
Molecule: long non-coding RNA, 962 nt
Filed under: Mytilus galloprovincialis (Mediterranean mussel)
Lineage: Eukaryota; Metazoa; Mollusca; Bivalvia; Mytilida; Mytilidae
Source: RNAcentral